RNAcentral lists this ribosomal RNA (507 nucleotides) under uncultured bacterium. Its description in RNAcentral is "bacterial SSU rRNA". It matches the Rfam family "Bacterial small subunit ribosomal RNA", at positions 28 to 530 of the family's 1533-position model. The record is from RNAcentral.
GACGAACGCUGGCGGCGUGCCUAACACAUGCAAGUCGAGCGGAGUCGAUCGACGGAAGCCUUCGGGCGGAAGAUGGUUGACUUAGCGGCGGAUGGGUGAGUAACGCGUGGGCAACCUGCCUCGAAGACCGGGAUAACAGCCCGAAAGGGCUGCUAAUACCGGAUGUGGUCAAGGAUCCGCAUGGAUUUUUGAUUAAAGGGGAAACCCGUUUCGAGAUGGGCCCGCGUCCUAUCAGCUAGUUGGUGAGGUAAAAGCUCACCAAGGCGACGACGGGUAGCCGGCCUGAGAGGGUGACCGGCCACACUGGAACUGAGACACGGUCCAGACUCCUACGGGGGCAGCAGUGGGGAAUCUUCCACAAUGGGCGAAAGCCUGAUGGAGCGACGCCGCGUGAGCGAAGAAGGCCUUCGGGUUGUAAGCUCUGUCUGGAGGGACGAAGGAAGUGACGGUACCUCCGGAGGAAGCCACGGCUAACUACGUGCCAGCAGCCGCGGUAAAGUCACGUCG